Molecule: transfer RNA, 77 nt
Filed under: Oscillospiraceae bacterium
Lineage: Bacteria; Bacillati; Bacillota; Clostridia; Eubacteriales; Oscillospiraceae
Also listed under: 1 other name
Description: tRNA-His
Rfam family: tRNA
About the family: Transfer RNA (tRNA) molecules are approximately 80 nucleotides in length. Their secondary structure includes four short double-helical elements and three loops (D, anti-codon, and T loops). Further hydrogen bonds mediate the characteristic L-shaped molecular structure. tRNAs have two regions of fundamental functional importance: the anti-codon, which is responsible for specific mRNA codon recognition, and the 3' end, to which the tRNAs corresponding amino acid is attached (by aminoacyl-tRNA synthetases). tRNAs cope with the degeneracy of the genetic code in two manners: having more than one tRNA (with a specific anti-codon) for a particular amino acid; and 'wobble' base-pairing, i.e. permitting non-standard base-pairing at the 3rd anti-codon position.
Source: RNAcentral
GUGGAAUUAGCUCAGUUGGUUAGAGCGCCAGAUUGUGGCUUUGGAGGUCAUGGGUUCGAUUCCCAUAUUCCACCCCA